UCUCAUCCUCGCAGAGUGCUAGGAUUACAGGUGUAAGCCACUAUGCCUGGCCUGAGAAGGUACUAGUAUUAUCUUAAUCAUAUAGAUGAGAAAGCUGAGGUUUGGAGAGGUUAGGUAAUUUGCCCAAGGUACAUAGUUAAUGGGCAACAAGGCUGGGGCCAGGUCUGUCUAGCUCAAAAGCCUGUACUUUGAAUCAAAACCCAAAAGGUUAAAGUCAACAGUGAAAAGAGCUCAUCUGAGCUGGCUGGGUACUAGAGAGGCCUGCAGGACGCAGCCUGGUAACUGGCAGAGGCAGCCAAGCUGCUGGGAGGAAAAGUUCUGACAAAAAGCCAGGUGGGUCAAAGGGAAGGACAAGAUGUUUCAGCCAAGAGCCUGGAAACUUGAGAAUGGCAUCCACUGAGCCAAGAAUCAUGAAAGAGAGAUAAAGCAAGGAGCUAGGUACCUGGAGGAAUUACAGCUCCUCAGUCUCCUGGCAGAUCUUUGAUGAACAUAACCACCCAAUCAGCGUGCUGAAUUUCUCCAACGUCAUAAACAGACCAAUCAAAGCCUACUGACUUGGAAUCUAAAUCUAGUUAAGCUAUUUACUAGCUAUGACCUUGCAUCUAGUGAAGUUCUUCUGUUUCCAAACCUCCACCUGCCAAAAUGCCAACUCUGAAGACUUAGCUCCACUGCCAUCUCCUCCAUGAGGACUUUCUUCAUGCUUCUGAGCUCUCUGCUGAGGUACAAACGCACUUUGAAGACAUGCAGUGAUCACGCACAUGAUAGCUGUGUACAACCCUUAUAUUCCCUACUGGGCUGUGUCCAUGAUUUGCCAAGGUGGGGGAUGAUGGACUGUGUCUUAAUAUUUACCUGUCUAUCCCUUACAGCACCUACUAAGAAACGGUUAUUGCAUUUCUACCUCAGGUAAGAAACUGCUCAAAAGUGAAAUGAAUUGUUAUAUACUUGUUCACAAAUGGAGACACUGCAACAAGUACCCUGUAAUGUGAUCUGACUCUCAGGAUAAAACCAAUCCAUGAUAGAGCUCAAGGAAUGGGACAAGGGCAGGCAGUUUGGGCUAUAUAUUUUGGAGUCAAGAAAUCUGGGAUUGAGGUUCUGCUUUGCCAUUCGCUAGCUAUGGGCUUGACACCAGGUGGUUCUUCUUUGAGUGUCAUUUCCUUCCUUCUGCACAGCCUCACGGGAUGAAGAAAAAAAUGAGACCCAUUUGUGAAUGCUAUAUCAGUGAUUCUCAAUCCCAAUUAUGCAUCAUAAUCUCCUGUAAAGCUUCGGAAAAAUACAGAGGACAAGGACCCAGCCCAGGUAAAUUGAAUCAGAAUCCUCUGGAAGUGGGACGCAGUGGGACUAAUUAUUUAUAAAAUGCUAUUUCUAAUGCAUAGCCAAGGUUGGAAGCUACUGUUAGAAACUCAUAAGUACCAUUAACAGUAGAGCAAGGUGCUUUAGGCUGCUGGUUUAUCCUUUAUACAUAAAGUUAGGAAUCAGUUCAAUGCUUUUAUAGUUCCAUUAAAAUACACUACUGUGUGCAAGCAUUUUUUGUGUUCUUCUGCAUUGUUGUGUGGUUAAGUUGUAAGUUCUGAGAGAAUAGUAUCUAGCACCACUGUAUGUAAAGAUGUACCUAAGCCAAAUUUCUGAGAAAUAAAAACUUCAUAGAGUCCUCUGAAACCUUGCUAUUCAGAAGUGUGGUAACCAGACAAGUAUAACUGGCAUAAACCAGGAACUUGUAAGAAAUGUAGAAUCUCAGACUCCACUCUGUACUCUCUAUAUUAAUGAGGUUCUUAGAUGUGUCAAUAGGUGAAGCAAAGGCAAUCUUUGCUCAGUUCACAUGUAUGUUUAGGGUCUGCUGUUCCCUGUCCUAAUCCUAAAAGGGUAGGAGGGCAUGAAGCAUCUGGUUCUGUCUUCCACAAACCACUGAAGAUUGGGACUUUAUCCCGAUGCUUCUUUCUCUAAAAGGGUUCAUUUGGUAAAAACUAAAUUAAGAACAUAAAUCCUCACAAAAGGAUCUUUUCUU
Macaca mulatta (Rhesus monkey) is the source of this 2002-nucleotide non-coding RNA. The record is from RefSeq and is a predicted model, not a curated record. Lineage: Eukaryota; Metazoa; Chordata; Mammalia; Primates; Cercopithecidae.